This 859-nucleotide ribosomal RNA is filed under the name uncultured eukaryote. Its description in RNAcentral is "SSU rRNA". It matches the Rfam family "Eukaryotic small subunit ribosomal RNA", at positions 578 to 1472 of the family's 1831-position model. The record is from RNAcentral.
GGUAAUUCCAGCUCUAAUAGCGUAUAUUAAAGUUGUUGCAGUUAAAAAGCUCGUAGUUGGAUUUUGGUGUCGGACAGGCGGUCGGCUUUUGUCGUACUGCCCUUCUGACGCCUUCCUUCUGUGGACUGCGUCACUCUUAACUGAGGGGCGUGUGGACGCAGAUCGUUUACUGUGAGUAAAUUAGAGUGUUCAAAGCAGGCCUUACGCUUGAAUACAUUAGCAUGGAAUAAUAGAAUAGGACGUCGGGCCUAUUUUGUUGGUUUAGGGACCGUCGUAAUGAUUAAUAGGGACAGUUGGGGCCGUUCAUAUUCCGUAGUCAGAGGUGAAAUUCUUGGAUUUACGGAAGAUGAACUACUGCGAAAGCAUUCGGCAAGGAUGUUUUCGUUAAUCAAGAACGAAAGUUAGGGGAUCGAAGACGAUCAGAUACCGUCGUAGUCUUAACCAUAAACUAUGCCGACUCGGGAUCAGCAAGUGUCGUUCACGACCUCGCUGGCACCGUGUGAGAAAUCAAAGUCUUUGGGUUCCGGGGGGAGUAUGGUCGCAAGGCUGAAACUUAAAGGAAUUGACGGAAGGGCACCACCAGGAGUGGAGCCUGCGGCUUAAUUUGACUCAACACGGGGAAACUCACCAGGUCCAGACAUAGCGAGGAUUGACAGAUUGACAGCUCUUUCUUGAUUCUAUGGGUGGUGGUGCAUGGCCGUUCUUAGUUGGUGGAGUGAUUUGUCUGGUUAAUUCCGAUAACGAACGAGACCUCAGCCUACUAAAUAGUAACGCCUGCUUCGGCAGGUGGAUUACUUCUUAGAGGGACUUUUCGAGUCAUCGAAAGGAAGUUUGAGGCAAUAACAGGUCUGUGAUGCCC